This 484-nucleotide ribosomal RNA is filed under the name uncultured bacterium. Its description in RNAcentral is "partial 16S ribosomal RNA". It matches the Rfam family "Bacterial small subunit ribosomal RNA", at positions 30 to 507 of the family's 1533-position model. The record is from RNAcentral.
AUUGAACGCUGGCGGCAGGCCUAGCACAUGCAAGUCGAGCGGAUGAAGGGAGCUUGCUCCUGGAUUCAGCGGCGGACGGGUGAGUAAUGCCUAGGAAUCUGCCUGGUAGUGGGGGAUAACGUCCGGAAACGGGCGCUAAUACCGCAUACGUCCUGAGGGAGAAAGUGGGGGAUCUUCGGACCUCACGCUAUCAGAUGAGCCUAGGUCGGAUUAGCUAGUUGGUGGGGUAAAGGCCUACCAAGGCGACGAUCCGUAACUGGUCUGAGAGGAUGAUCAGUCACACUGGAACUGAGACACGGUCCAGACUCCUACGGGAGGCAGCAGUGGGGAAUAUUGGACAAUGGGCGAAAGCCUGAUCCAGCCAUGCCGCGUGUGUGAAGAAGGUCUUCGGAUUGUAAAGCACUUUAAGUUGGGAGGAGGGGCAGUAAGUUAAUACCUUGCUGUUUUGACGUUACCAACAGAAUAAGCACCGGCUAACUUCGUG